Long non-coding RNA from Hibiscus syriacus, 472 nucleotides. RefSeq lists it as uncharacterized. The transcript is spliced from 3 exons. Lineage: Eukaryota; Viridiplantae; Streptophyta; Magnoliopsida; Malvales; Malvaceae. The record is from RefSeq and is a predicted model, not a curated record.
GCACCUAUAUCUUCUGUAGUUGUUAUAAAAUCCAAUUCCAUUGUUAUCUGUUAUUGACUGUACGCUUCCUUUUGGUCUUUUAUAGCCUUCCAGCUUGCAGCUAGAGUUCCUUGGGUGUUACCUUGCGGAAUUGAGUUUGUUGGAUUAUGGAUAUGUAAAAUUUUUACCAUCCAUUGUUGCUGCUUCUGUUAUCUUCCUUUCAAGAUUUAUAAUUAGACCAAAGAAACAUACUUGGAGCUCUGCCCUGCAACAGCACUCAGGCUACAAAGCAUCUGAUCUAAAAGACUGUGUCCUUAUCAUACAUGAUUUGUAUUUGAGUAGAAGAGGAGGUGCACUUCAUGCAGCUAGAGAUAAAUACAAGCAGCAUAAGUUCAAAUGUGUGGCAAUAAUGCCGGCUUCUCCAGAGAUACAUGCUUCUCAUUUUGAAGAUUUUCAAGUUGAUAUUUCUGAUGUUGAAGUCUUGAAUAUGUUC